GCAGAUGUGGUGAAACUGGUAUACACGCAGUCUUGAGGGGGCUGUAAGCAUAGCUUGUGUGGGUUCGACUCCCAUCAUCUGCACCA
RNAcentral lists this transfer RNA (86 nucleotides) under Thomasclavelia ramosa. Its description in RNAcentral is "Erysipelatoclostridium ramosum tRNA-Leu". It matches the Rfam family "tRNA". From Rfam's summary of the family: Transfer RNA (tRNA) molecules are approximately 80 nucleotides in length. Their secondary structure includes four short double-helical elements and three loops (D, anti-codon, and T loops). Lineage: Bacteria; Bacillati; Bacillota; Erysipelotrichia; Erysipelotrichales; Coprobacillaceae. The record is from RNAcentral.